RNAcentral lists this ribosomal RNA (763 nucleotides) under Bacillus sp. KSD-5. RNAcentral describes it as "bacterial SSU rRNA". It matches the Rfam family "Bacterial small subunit ribosomal RNA", at positions 29 to 790 of the family's 1533-position model. Lineage: Bacteria; Bacillati; Bacillota; Bacilli; Caryophanales; Bacillaceae. The record is from RNAcentral.
AGCGACGCUGGCGGCGUGCCUAUACAUGCUGUCGAGCGGACAGAUGGGAGCUUGCUCCCUGAUGUUAGCGGCGGACGGGUGAGUAACACGUGGGUAACCUGCCUGUAAGACUGGGAUAACUCCGGGAAACCGGGGCUAAUACCGGAUGCUUGUUUGAACCGCAUGGUUCAAACAUAAAAGGUGGCUUCGGCUACCACUUACAGAUGGACCCGCGGCGCAUUAGCUAGUUGGUGAGGUAAUGGCUCACCAAGGCGACGAUGCGUAGCCGACCUGAGAGGGUGAUCGGCCACACUGGGACUGAGACACGGCCCAGACUCCUACGGGAGGCAGCAGUAGGGAAUCUUCCGCAAUGGACGAAAGUCUGACGGAGCAACGCCGCGUGAGUGAUGAAGGUUUUCGGAUCGUAAAGCUCUGUUGUUAGGGAAGAACAAGUACCGUUCGAAUAGGGCGGUACCUUGACGGUACCUAACCAGAAAGCCACGGCUAACUACGUGCCAGCAGCCGCGGUAAUACGUAGGUGGCAAGCGUUGUCCGGAAUUAUUGGGCGUAAAGGGCUCGCAGGCGGUUUCUUAAGUCUGAUGUGAAAGCCCCCGGCUCAACCGGGGAGGGUCAUUGGAAACUGGGGAACUUGAGUGCAAAGAGGAGAGUGGAAUUCCACGUGUAGCGGUGAAAUGCGUAAGAUGUGGAGACACAGUGCGAAGGCACUCUCUGGUCUGUACUGACCCUGAGACAAACCGUGGGGAACCAACGGGAUUAAAUACGG